ACAUGCAAGUCGAACGCGUCUUGGGGGCAACUCCAAGAUGAGUGGCGAACGGGUGAGUAACACGUGGGUAAUCUCCCCCCGAGUGAGGGAUAAGCCCCCGAAAGGGGGUCUAAUACCGCAUAACACCCUGGGGCAUAAGCUUCCAGGGUCGAAGCCGCAAGGCGCUUGGGGAUGAGCCUGCGUCCUAUUAGCUAGUUGGUAGGGUAACGGCCUACCAAGGUUAUGAUGGGUAGCCGACCUGAGAGGGUGAUCGGCCACACUGGGACUGAGACACGGCCCAGACUCCUACGGGAGGCAGCAGUGGGGAAUCUUGGACAAUGGGGGAAACCCUGAUCCAGCGACGCCGCGUGAGCGAUGAAGUCCUUCGGGGUGUAAAGCUCUUUCGGCGGGAACGAUUA
RNAcentral lists this ribosomal RNA (398 nucleotides) under uncultured bacterium. RNAcentral describes it as "bacterial SSU rRNA". It matches the Rfam family "Bacterial small subunit ribosomal RNA", at positions 53 to 451 of the family's 1533-position model. The record is from RNAcentral.